Molecule: ribosomal RNA, 507 nt
Filed under: uncultured bacterium
Lineage: Bacteria
Description: bacterial SSU rRNA
Rfam family: Bacterial small subunit ribosomal RNA
Source: RNAcentral
AGAGUUUGAUUAUGGCUCAGGAUGAACGCUGGCGGCGUGCUUAACACAUGCAAGUCGAACGAAGCAUUUACCGGAACAUUUCGGAUGGAAGUAAAUGACUGAGUGGCGGACGGGUGAGUAACGCGUGGAUAACCUACCAUAUACAGGGGGACAACAGUUGGAAACGACUGCUAAUACCGCAUAAGCGCACAGUGCCGCAUGGCACGGUGUGAAAAACUCCGGUGGUAUAUGAUGGAUCCGCGUCUGAUUAGCUAGUUGGUGAGGUAACGGCCACCAAGGCAACGAUCAGUAGCCGACCUGAGAGGGUGACCGGCCACAUUGGGACUGAGACACGGCCCAAACUCCUACGGGAGGCAGCAGUGGGGAAUAUUGCACAAUGGGCGAAAGCCUGAUUGCAGCGACGCCGCGUGAGCGAAGAAGUAUUUCGGUAUGUAAAGCUCUAUCAGCAGGGAAGAAAAUGACGGUACCUGACUAAGAAGCCCCGGCUAACUACGUGCCAGCCGCUGC